GUGGGGAAUAUUGCACAAUGGGCGAAAGCCUGAUGCAGCGACGCCGCGUGAGGGAUGACGGCCUUCGGGUUGUAAACCUCUUUCAGUAGGGAAGAAGCGAAAGUGACGGUACCUACAGAAGAAGCACCGGCUAACUACGUGCCAGCAGCCGCGGUAAUACGUAGGGUGCGAGCGUUGUCCGGAAUUAUUGGGCGUAAAGAGCUUGUAGGCGGUUUGUCGCGUCUGCUGUGAAAAUCCGGGGCUCAACCCCGGACUUGCAGUGGGUACGGGCAGACUAGAGUGUGGUAGGGGAGACUGGAAUUCCUGGUGUAGCGGUGAAAUGCGCAGAUAUCAGGAGGAACACCGAUGGCGAAGGCAGGUCUCUGGGCCACUACUGACGCUGAGAAGCGAAAGCGUGGGGAGCGAACAGGAUUAGAAACCCCAGUAGUCC
RNAcentral lists this ribosomal RNA (430 nucleotides) under uncultured bacterium. RNAcentral describes it as "bacterial SSU rRNA". It matches the Rfam family "Bacterial small subunit ribosomal RNA", at positions 354 to 796 of the family's 1533-position model. The record is from RNAcentral.